This 254-nucleotide ribosomal RNA is filed under the name uncultured bacterium. RNAcentral's name for it is "partial 16S ribosomal RNA". It matches the Rfam family "Bacterial small subunit ribosomal RNA", at positions 524 to 776 of the family's 1533-position model. The record is from RNAcentral.
UACGGGGGGAGCAAGCGUUGUUCGGAUUUACUGGGCGUAAAGGGCGCGUAGGCGGUCGUGACAAGUCACUUGUGAAAUCUCCGGGCUUAACUCGGAACGGUCAAGUGAUACUGUCGGACUAGAGUACAGAAGGGGCAACUGGAAUUCUCGGUGUAGCGGUGAAAUGCGUAGAUAUCGAGAGGAACACCUGCGGCGAAGGCGGGUUGCUGGGCUGAUACUGACGCUGAGGCGCGAAAGCGUGGGGAGCAAACAGG